GACGAACACUGGCGGCGUGCCUAAUACAUGCAAGUCGAGCGCAGGAAGCCGACGGAACCCUUCGGGGGGAAGUCGACGGAAUGAGCGGCGGACGGGUGAGUAACACGUAAAGAACCUGCCCUCAGGUCUGGGAUAACCACGAGAAAUCGGGGCUAAUACCGGAUGGGUCAUCGGACCGCAUGGUCCGAGGAUGAAAGGCGCUCCGGCGUCGCCUGGGGAUGGCUUUGCGGUGCAUUAGCUAGUUGGUGGGGUAAUGGCCCACCAAGGCGACGAUGCAUAGCCGACCUGAGAGGGUGAUCGGCCACACUGGGACUGAGACACGGCCCAGACUCCUACGGGAGGCAGCAGUAGGGAAUCUUCCACAAUGGACGAAAGUCUGAUGGAGCAACGCCGCGUGAACGAUGAAGGCCUUCGGGUCGUAAAGUUCUGUUGUAAGGGAAGAACAAGUGCCGCAGGCAAUGGCGGCACCUUGACGGUACCUUGCGAGAAAGCCACGGCUAACUACGUGCCAGCCGCCGCGGUAA
This 524-nucleotide ribosomal RNA is filed under the name uncultured bacterium. RNAcentral describes it as "partial 16S ribosomal RNA". It matches the Rfam family "Bacterial small subunit ribosomal RNA", at positions 28 to 523 of the family's 1533-position model. The record is from RNAcentral.